AACGCACGAGACCUGCGGACCUGCGGAGGGAUCAUUACCGAGUUAUCCAACUCCCAACCCCUGUGAAUUAUACCUUUAAUUGUUGCUUCGGCGGGACUUCGCGCCCGCCGGGGACCCAAACCUUCUGAAUUUUUUAAUAAGUAUCUUCUGAGUGGUUAAAAAAAUGAAUCAAAACUUUUAACAAUGGAUCUCU
This 193-nucleotide unclassified non-coding RNA is filed under the name soil metagenome. RNAcentral describes it as "partial contains 5.8S ribosomal RNA, internal transcribed spacer 2, and large subunit ribosomal RNA". The record is from RNAcentral.